Molecule: ribosomal RNA, 253 nt
Filed under: uncultured bacterium
Lineage: Bacteria
Description: partial 16S ribosomal RNA
Rfam family: Bacterial small subunit ribosomal RNA
Source: RNAcentral
UACAGAGGGUGCGAGCGUUAAUCGGAUUUACUGGGCGUAAAGCGCAUGUAGGCGGAUUGGUCAGUUAGGGGUGAAAUCCCGGAGCUCAACUCCGGAACUGCCUUUAAUACUGCCAAUCUAGAGUCCGAGAGAGGUGAGUGGAACUCCUAGUGUAGAGGUGGAAUUCGUAGAUAUUAGGAAGAACACCAGUGGCGAAGGCGGCUCACUGGCUCGGUACUGACGCUGAGGUGCGAAAGCGUGGGGAGCAAACAGG